This is a long non-coding RNA of Gasterosteus aculeatus aculeatus (three-spined stickleback), 598 nucleotides long. RefSeq lists it as uncharacterized. Lineage: Eukaryota; Metazoa; Chordata; Actinopteri; Perciformes; Gasterosteidae. The record is from RefSeq and is a predicted model, not a curated record.
CAAGAAAAGAGUUCAUCUUUUCCUUAAUAGUCAAUCUUUGUCAUUCCAUGCACAGAGAUUUAUUUAAGUGAUCAUCUGUCUCUAUAUAGACGAUCUUUGUUUUCUCCGCCGACUGUUUUACUGAAGUAAGUUAAGAGAGCAGAAAACCUAUGAUUCAUCGAAAAAUUUGAAUAUUGAAGCAUGAGCCAUUCAAAAUCGCGAGUUUCGAGGAGGAGGAUCAAACCUUUGAACAUUUAAUAUUCUGGUUGUUUUUUUUGGAUAGCUCCAUGACUGGAACCAGAAGUACUGUCCGGUCUGCCACCACAUCUUCAUCCAUCCACCACCAAGAGGACCCUCACAUCGGACGUCACAGUGCGCCUGGAGUCCCUUUGACUUGACUUUGGUUGUGCACAGAAGGGUGGUAGGACACUUUUUUUUUUGGACGAUACUCCUUCUUUUAUACAUUUUUUCCCGAUCGAACUUAUUCCUGAGAUCUCAGAGGUUUUCUUUAUUUUUUAUAUUAACUGCUUGGACAUUCUUUUGAUGUGUGGAAUCGUGCAUUUGCUGCAGAAAUGAUUGUCUAAUUGUGUUAUAAAUAAAUCUGUUGUGUUAAGUGUAA